AAAGACAUAAAAAAAAAGGAAAAAGUGUAGUUUUUGUCUUUUAGUAAAAAAGUAAAGUAAAAAGAAAAAGAAAGGUUUUGGCUGGGGAUAGGCAGUGGGUACGGGGUUGGACAGCGAGGGGAGCAAGAAACGGUUUUCUGCAGGCACGUUUUGGACUAACAGGGAGGCAAUUUGUUUUGGUUUGACAGAGAGGUGAUUUGAGAUUUUGGGUAGCAGAGAACCACCUCCAACAAGAUCUCCAUUCCAAACCUCAUCACCAUUACACACACGCCAUUUUCAUCUCCACCAUAAUUUAUCACGCAUAGUUUACCUUGACCCAUGAUCACAGCCAUAGACACCCAAUCACAUUUUCCUCUUUUCGUUUUUCCAAUACCUCACCUUCAACAGAUCCAUCAUUCAGCCCUCCCACUACCCUGAAUUCAUCACUCCCAAUCAUUCAUCACUCUCGUUCUAUCACUCACACCACUACCUCUGGACCCAUCCUAACUACCUCGACACCUUCUUCUCAUUUUGACCUCCAAAAAGAAUCAUCCUUUGGUUCCAACCAUUCAUAUUCGUCCAUCGCCAUAGCACUCACAGCUACUACCAACACCUUACCACCAUAUUCCUCUUAAUCAAAUCUCCAUUUACUUUCUUCUUAUCAUAUUUUUCUCCUACUUUCCCUGGAUUCAAACAAAAAAAAAAAAACAAAUCCAUCUCUUUUCACUCCUGUUCAUUAUGUCAUCGUCUCCAAAACGCCAUUCAUCCCCAUUAACAGAGCCAUCCACCAAAGCAUCUUUUACUCCAUAAUCGCAUCCACCUUUUUUUUGUUUGCACCAUUACCUGGUCUCCAUUCUUUCCUAGCCUCAACAUCAUCUUUCACCUGCAACAACAAAAACAAACAGAUACUAAAUCAAUAACCCAAUCCUUCCCCCCACCACCACCACGUCUUCGUACACCACCUCCAAAUCAAACCCCUCACGCAUCACAACGUCAAUGCCUCUGCCUGUAGCCAGAAAAACCAAAAUAGAUUUCCCAACCUAAUAUCCAACCUGUUCCACCGAGGCAAAAUUCCAGCAACUUUCACUAUAUCACCAAGCCGAGUUUUCACAGUCUACACCACCCUCAUUGCUUCCAAAAUCAUUCACGGUCCUAGGCAAAAAGAAGAAAAACAGAGAACAAGUUUAAUCAGGAUUAUGUUUUUUUCCUUUUCUUUCUCCCCUUUCUCUAUGUUUUCCUUUUGUUCCUUUUUCACGCCACAAUCGGGUACGGGAAGGGAAGAGCGAGAUAGGCCAGGCGAGCAAAAAUCCAUCUCGCAAAAGGGCCAAAUGAAGAAAUCCUUGACUCUAGAAGCUGGUGUCCAAAGAAGGUGCUCCAACUGAACCCUCGCCGCGACCCGUGGCGCUGGUGGUGCCCUGGUUUGAGGCGGCAAAGCUCGCUCAAAGCGGCGAUUGACGGAGAAGGAAGAGAGGACCCGAAGCCAGGGUUGGUAACGCCUCCGGCGAUAAACGGUGGUGACCGGUGGCGGCUGGUCUCGCCUGUGAUAAAGAGCGCGCCCCGGGAUGCGUUUCUGUUUCUCGUACACGAGAAGAGGGAGAGAGAAGGCGGUGGCUCCGGCUAUAGGCGGCGUCGCUGGCGAUGCUAGGGGCCGCGGUUCGCAGCUGCCGGUUGAGUGAAGGUGAGGAUGGCGUGUUUGCCGACGUUUGAGUGCCUUGAGUUUCUGUUUUUCUGCAGAGAAGAGACCCUAGGUCUCGUGAGCUUUGAACAAGAAUGGGAUGAAGGGAGCAGACCCCUAAGUUUUCUGAAUGGGAAGAGCCAACCUGGGGCCAGCGUUGGGCCAAUUCAAUUGAAUAAAUUCCCUUUUCUGCACCCCCUUUUAUUCAUAUCUCGCACCCCACUCUCCUUUGGGCUUGAGCCUAUUCUGCUAGAAAAAGAAAAAACCUUUUCCCUUUUGCACCCCCCCUUUUCUACUUUCUGCCUAGGCCAGCUUUGGCCACACACAAAAAAAACGAAACAAAGUCCCUUCUGCACCCCCUGCUCUCUUCUGCAGCGCACCCCUUGCUCUCACUCUCUACACCCCUGGUUUCACUUGCGCCACCCCCUGUCGCUUGGGUUUAGGCCAGUUCGUUUUUUAAAGGAAAAAGGUUCAUACACCUUUUUGUUUUCCAUUUCCACACCCCAUUUUCUCAUUUAAGCACCCUAGUACCUUUUUCCUUUUUCUUCUAAUCUAUUUGUUAUUUUGUUUUUUAUAUUUAUUUAACUUUCUAUUUUAUUUCAUUUCAACUUUUUAUUUUUGUUUAUUUACUUAUUUAUUUUAUCUUUCCGUUUCAAAUAUUUACCUAUUCCAAAAAAAACCAACAAAAAUUAUUUUCAAAGGUUAAUAGCACACGUGCGAUCAUUCUGUCUGCCUUGUGCUAAAAACCUUUUCUUCUUCUUUCAAAAAUCAACAAAAAAAAUUAUUUUAAAAGGUUUAAGCACACGUGCGACCAUUCUGUCUGCCUUGUGCUAAAAACCUUCUUCUUCUUCUUUCAAAAAAUUAACAAAAAAAUUAUUUUAAAAGGUUUAUGCACACGUGCGACCAUUCUGUCUGCCUUGUGCUAAAAACCUUUUCUCUUUCUUUUAUAAAAAGAAAAUACCAAAAAAAUAUAAAAAUCUUCAAAAACUAAAAACAUCUUCCAAUGUACAAUCUUUCAG
This 2673-nucleotide long non-coding RNA is filed under the name Vigna radiata. Its description in RNAcentral is "long non-coding RNA (VRAD_LNC009754)". Lineage: Eukaryota; Viridiplantae; Streptophyta; Magnoliopsida; Fabales; Fabaceae. The record is from RNAcentral.